CCUACGGGAGGCAGCAGUGGGGAAUAUUGGGCAAUGGGCGCAAGCCUGACCCAGCAACGCCGCGAGAAGGAAGAAGGCUUUCGGGUUGUACACUUCUUUUGACAGGGAAGAGUAGAAGACGGUACCUGUCGAAUAAGCCACGGCUAACUACGUGUCAUCAGACGCGGUAAUACGUAGGUGGCAAGCGUGGUCCGGGUUUACUGGGGGUAAAGGGCGGGUAGCCGGGUUGACAAGUCAGAUGUGAAAUCAUGCGGCUUAACCGAAGAACUGCAUUUGAAACUGUUGAUCUUGAGUACUGGAGGGGCAGACGGAAUUCCUGGUGUCGCGGUGAAAUGCGUCGAUAUUAGGAGGAACCCCAGUGGCGACGGCGGUCUGCUGGACAGCAACUGACGGUGAGGCGCGAAAGCGUGGGGCGCAAACAGAAUUGGUUACCCCAGUUGU
This 441-nucleotide ribosomal RNA is filed under the name uncultured bacterium. Its description in RNAcentral is "partial 16S ribosomal RNA". It matches the Rfam family "Bacterial small subunit ribosomal RNA", at positions 338 to 794 of the family's 1533-position model. The record is from RNAcentral.